Molecule: unclassified non-coding RNA, 353 nt
Filed under: Hevea brasiliensis (rubber tree)
Lineage: Eukaryota; Viridiplantae; Streptophyta; Magnoliopsida; Malpighiales; Euphorbiaceae
Source: RNAcentral
CUCCACAACGGCCCCCUCUCCAGAAAAAAUGACAGAGGAUUGAGAUUGGAGAGAUCGAAGCCUGUCAAGCUCAGGAAUACUGAUUUGGUCUGCGUCAGAGGGAGCUGAUUUUGGAGUUGUUGUGUCCGAUUCACUUCUGUUUGGUUUAGCAGGUCGUUUGGGGGCAAUAGAAUCGAAUUGAGCUCUGAUUUGGUUGGCUAUUUGGAGCUGUCGAUUUGCAUCCAAAACCUCGUCGCUCCGGCUUGGCUUAGUCACGGUCAACUGCCCCACCAUGUUGGCUCUUGCCUGUAAAGUUUCUAUCUUGGUGAUCUCCACUACGUCUUCCCCUCACUGCGAUGGGAUGCCAAGAAUUG